RNAcentral lists this ribosomal RNA (503 nucleotides) under uncultured bacterium. RNAcentral describes it as "partial 16S ribosomal RNA". It matches the Rfam family "Bacterial small subunit ribosomal RNA", at positions 29 to 523 of the family's 1533-position model. The record is from RNAcentral.
AACGAACGCUGGCGGCGUGUUUAAGACAUGCAAGUCGCACGGGAUAAGACAUGUAGUAAUACUUGUUUUAUUUAGUGGCGCACGGGUGAGUAACACGUGAAUUACAUGCCCUAUAGUGGGGAAUAGCCCAGGGAAACUUGGAUUAAUACCCCAUGGUCUCGCAAGAUUAAAGGGGGCCGCAAGGCUGUCGCUAUAGGAGUGGUUCGCGCCCUAUCAGCUCGUUGGUGAGGUAACGGCUCACCAAGGCAAUGACGGGUACCUGGUCUGGGAGGACGAUCAGGCACACUGGAACUGAGACACGGUCCAGACACCUACGGGUGGCAGCAGGCGAGAAUAAUUCACAAUGGGGGCAACCCUGAUGGUGCAACGCCGCGUGGAGGAUGACGGUCUUCGGAUUGUAAACUCCUGUCAUCUGGGAGAAAGACCUGACGGUAAAUAGCCGGCAGGGUUGAUAGUACCAGAAGAGGAAGGGACGGCUAACUUCGUGCCAGCCGCCGCAGUAA